UUUCGGUCACUAAAUUGGUCUCAACUUUGCAUUGUUAGUUUUAUUCUACUUCUUUAGCGACGGAAAUUUCAGUCGCUAAUAUUUCCGUUGGUAAAUCGGUUGCUACUAGCGACGGAUAUGUCGGGCGCUAAAUAAUCUGUCGCCAAUUCAGUCGCUACUUUACUUUAUUAUGUUUAUUUUACUUUUUAGCGACGAAAAUUUCGGUCGCUAAUUCGGUCGCUCGUAAGUCAAACUCAGAGUUUGACCAAAAUAUCAUGGAUUCCGUCGCAAAGUCGGUCGCUAUUAGUGACUGAAAUAUUUCGGUCGCUAAAUCUGUCGCUAAACAGCGAAUUUCUAGUAGUGUCGUCAGUUUAAUAACAUAUUUGAUUAGCUGACAAACUCGAACCAAUAAUGUGAUUGAGUACUGAUCAAGCCGGACCGACAGAGACUAGUUCAGACCGAGUUUUAAAUCAUUGGUUAUAUCAAUUAUAGUUAUGAAAGAAAAUUUUGGUUUAUAAUGUUUUAAUAAAUAAACAUGUAGUUGGUGUCAAAAAAAUAUACACAUGUAGUUAAAUUGUAUUCAAAUUCAAUUAAAUUUCAUUCUUUUAUCACAUUAUAAUCAAUGGAAGAAUGGGAUUGUAAUUCGAUAUUUUGAGGGGGAGGUGUGCCUUGCCGCGUCCCUGUUCAGUGAUUCCAAUUUGGGGCUGCAUUUUGCCGAGGCCAUGGGCAUUAAGAAAGGAUUGUUAGUGGCUAGGGAGCGUGGAUUUCGAAGGUUGAUAUGGAGUCUGAUUCUGAGGUUGUUGUUCGUGUUGUCAAUGGGCAAGCGGCUCACAAAUCCUAUAUGGCUUCUCUGCAGGAAAUUUAUAAGGGUAGCCUAGAUAGGAUGUAGAUACAAGCAUUAUAACAUGUUCAAUAAUCUAUACAUAUAUAAUUUGCGUACCUGAUAUGAGCGAAGAAACAGUCUUUUUGUGUUUUGAGCCUAGGUGAUGCAUGUGAGAAAAACUGCUCUCUAUUCUGAUAAGUCUGUAGAGUAGAUUAAGUUAACUAUCUAAUGGGGAGACAAGUUUAUAACCUAUCAGAUGAGAGCAGGGGGCUUCUCACUGGGCUUAAAUAAAUAACCCAACCCAUUACAGGUUACUCAUCAGAAAAGCCCAAUAGUAAUAUCCAUCAAGUGGUUAAGCGUUAUAAUUAAUAUUAAUUUCUAAUAAUUGAUAUAUUAAUAAUUCAAGAAUUACACAUUCUAAUUAAAUGAUUAAUGCUAAUCCAUAAAAUAUCCAACAAUCUCCCACUUGGAUAGCAUUAGUCAAUUAACAGAAAUGCAAGAAUUAUUAAGAGUAGGAUAUCAAUAAUGGACAAAACGCAAAUCCACCAAAAGCAAGAAAAUAUAAGCUUUAACACAAGAGAAGAUAGUAUCCGAUAGGGAUAUGUGUCGUGUGUGUUAAGAAUAUCCGAUAGGGAUAAGAGACUCAUAUUUCAUAAAAGAAUGAUGGAUGUGGAAAGACAUUAUAGAAUUUAGAUAAACAUGCAAUUCCAAAGAAUGGCCCAAGCAUCUUAAAAUGCUAUGUUUUCAGACUCCCACUGACCUUAAAUAUCAAAAGACUUUAACCAUAUCAAUUUAUAUGGUUUAGACAAGCUCCAAGAAUAAAGUCUUUAAUCAGUGGAUUAAUGUACUCACUUAGAGUCCGAAAUUUUAGAAUUUCUUUUCUCUCUAGCAAACCAAGGGCAAGUAUAAAUUUAAUUAUUGUUUUGAGAGAAAAUAUAUCACAAGGGCAAGUAUAAAUUCCACAUAAGUCUAAGUGAUCUUAAUAGCCAAAAGAGUGAUUACAUGUGGGCUAAAGAGAAUAUGCUCAAAAGAAUUUGACAUAAUUAAUUCAAGGUUUUCUAAACAAGUGACCAUAAGUCCAUGGUAAAAGAGUUUAAUAAUAACAUGGAUAAUGGAAACUUAUUUAGACAAAGGGUGUCUUGAACUAAUAAAGAAUAAAAUGUCAAUAAUGAGCAAACACUUAUAAUUAAUGGUCUAAUUAAGAUUAAGUACCUUAAAAAUGCAAGAAAUCAUACUCGAUAGGAGUAGUGAUACUAUACAUCUAAGACACUUAUGUUUUACCAUAUAGAGUGUGAAAUGUUGGUUAAGAGAAACACAUUAAAU
Molecule: long non-coding RNA, 2125 nt
Filed under: Lotus japonicus
Lineage: Eukaryota; Viridiplantae; Streptophyta; Magnoliopsida; Fabales; Fabaceae
Description: long non-coding RNA (LJAP_LNC000707)
Source: RNAcentral